RNAcentral lists this non-coding RNA (55 nucleotides) under Rhizobium sp. CECT 9324. RNAcentral describes it as "COG3860". It matches the Rfam family "COG3860 RNA". Lineage: Bacteria; Pseudomonadati; Pseudomonadota; Alphaproteobacteria; Hyphomicrobiales; Rhizobiaceae. The record is from RNAcentral.
GGGUCCGCAGUUCACCCAGGCGUCACCGUCCCGCGCAGGGAAGCUAAACCUGUCC